UCUAAUAUGGCAGAUAAGUGCAAUGGAUUUAAGCUCCAUAUAUAAAAGUUUAUGCUUUUUGUUAGAA
Molecule: transfer RNA, 67 nt
Filed under: Amphinemura wui
Lineage: Eukaryota; Metazoa; Arthropoda; Insecta; Plecoptera; Nemouridae
Description: tRNA-Leu
Rfam family: tRNA
About the family: Transfer RNA (tRNA) molecules are approximately 80 nucleotides in length.
Source: RNAcentral